UUGAAUAAAAAUAAAACAAAGUUGCUUAAUGCUGAUGUAGUACAGUAAAAAUUACCAGACACUGGAAUUGAUGCACGAAGCAACUCUUUAGAGUUUCUCCCAUUGGAGAUCUUAAUUCCUCUAAUCUUACUAUGAAUGGGCCCUUGGUUAAAUCCCUUUCCUUCCAGGUUCCAACAUUCUUUUAUUAUGUCGAUUACUCUCUUCUUUCAUUCUAUUUAUGUUAUGGUAAUUCUAGGAUGGGAAUCGAGGAAUUACAGAGACAGAUUAGGGAGGCCAAAGAAGAAAAGCAUCCGAAUCUUAUUAGAGAGAAUUGGAGGUUCAAGAGUGUUAUUACAAAAUACUGAUGCCCUCCUCAAGAGGGUCCUCUGCUAUUUGUUCUUAUAACUGUCUAACAGCUUCCCAAUUGAGGAAGUUCGUUAUUCCAACUAUUCAUUAACUAAUUACAAUUGAAAUACUCUUCUAUUGCUUAUUUACAAAAUAUCCCGUAACACUUUACCAAUCUAUUGGAUUUUCAA
Cajanus cajan (pigeon pea) is the source of this 515-nucleotide non-coding RNA. Lineage: Eukaryota; Viridiplantae; Streptophyta; Magnoliopsida; Fabales; Fabaceae. The record is from RefSeq and is a predicted model, not a curated record.